CAACCCUCAAGCCCGGCUUGGUGUUGGGCCCCGCCCGCUGCGGCCGGCCCUAAAGACAGUGGCGGCGCCGCCUGGCCCUCAGCGUAGUACAGCUCUCGCUCCAGGGUCCGGUGGUGGCCUGCCAGAACCCCCAACUCUGU
Molecule: unclassified non-coding RNA, 140 nt
Filed under: uncultured Oidiodendron
Lineage: Eukaryota; Fungi; Ascomycota; Leotiomycetes; Myxotrichaceae
Description: sequence contains ITS2
Source: RNAcentral